GCCAAGUUCGACAAGAAAAAAGAUGGUUAACUAAACACCACUUAUUGAAAUUACUACAGAAUUCAAAAAUAGCAAAGGAGGCUACAUCUACUAGGGGACUUCAGCAGACGACCCUUAGCUGACUACACCCUUAGCUACCUCCUGAUAAACCACGCUGACAACAGCCUCAUUCUGCUCAACAAAAACCAUCUGCUCGGUAGCCCCAGCUGCCUACUCCUUCACAUCUACCCUAGCCUCAUCUGCUGCGUCACCUUUGGCGUUGUCUUCCUCCAUUGUAGCUUCAUCAGCUAUGUGCUCUUCAACUGCCUCUACAUCCACAGCAUUGAUCUAUCCAUUUUGAGCAGGGGCAGGUCAAGAUUGAGCUGCUUACCAUCUUCAUAUUCGAUGGGGCAGCACCCCUCGGGUGUGGUAUUUUCAUUCCAUAUUGUUUUGCUGGGAGAAAGCGAAGCGAAGAGGAAGAAGGGAUCUUGAGACGAAUAUUCUCUUAGGCGAAAAUCACUC
Molecule: long non-coding RNA, 501 nt
Filed under: Prunus dulcis (almond)
Lineage: Eukaryota; Viridiplantae; Streptophyta; Magnoliopsida; Rosales; Rosaceae
Description: sRNA ncRNA
Source: RNAcentral